This 501-nucleotide ribosomal RNA is filed under the name uncultured bacterium. RNAcentral's name for it is "bacterial SSU rRNA". It matches the Rfam family "Bacterial small subunit ribosomal RNA", at positions 542 to 1048 of the family's 1533-position model. The record is from RNAcentral.
UAUCCGGAUUUGUUGGGUUUAAAGGGAGCGUAGGCGGACGCUUAAGUCAGUUGUGAAAGUUUGCGGCUCAACCGUAAAAUUGCAGUUGAUACUGGGUGUCUUGAGUACAGUAGAGGCAGGCGGAAUUCGUGGUGUAGCGGUGAAAUGCUUAGAUAUCACGAAGAACUCCGAUUGCGAAGGCAGCCUGCUGGACUGUAACUGACGCUGAUGCUCGAAAGUGUGGGUAUCAAACAGGAUUAGAUACCCUGGUAGUCCACACAGUAAACGAUGAAUACUCGCUGUUUGCGAUAUACAGUAAGCGGCCAAGCGAAAGCGUUAAGUAUUCCACCUGGGGAGUACGCCGACAACGGUGAAACUCAAAGGAAUUGACGGGGGCCCGCACAAGCGGAGGAACAUGUGGUUUAAUUCGAUGAUACGCGAGGAACCUUACCCGGGCUUGAAUUGCAACUGAAUGAUGUGGAGACAUGUCAGCCGCAAGGCAGUUGUGAAGGUGCUGCAUGG